Small nuclear RNA from Nannospalax galili (Upper Galilee mountains blind mole rat), 107 nucleotides. NCBI's taxonomy places the organism in Eukaryota, Metazoa, Chordata, Mammalia, Rodentia, Spalacidae. The record is from Ensembl.
GUGCUUGCUUUGUCAGCACAUCCACUAAAACUAGGAUGACACAGAGAAGAUUAGCGUGGCCCCUGUACAAAGAUGACACACAAAUUCUUGAAGCAUUACAUAUUUUU